Molecule: ribosomal RNA, 390 nt
Filed under: uncultured bacterium
Lineage: Bacteria
Description: bacterial SSU rRNA
Rfam family: Bacterial small subunit ribosomal RNA
Source: RNAcentral
AGCGAACGCUGGCGGCGUACUUAACACAUGCAAGUCGAACGGGGAUCGUCGGUGUAGCAAUACAUCGGCGGCUCUAGUGGCGCACGGGUGAGUAACACGUGGGUAACCUGCCCUUGAGUUCGGGAUACCCUUUCGAAAGGAAGGCUAAUACCGGAUACGUUCCUCGGAUUGCGAAAUCUGGGGAGGAAAGGUGGCGCAAGCUGCCGCUCUUGGAGGGGCUCGCGGCCUAUCAGCAGUUGGUGAGGUAACGGCUCACCAAGGCUAUGACGGGUAGCUGGUCUGAGAGGACGACCAGCCACACGGGAACUGAGACACGGUCCCGACUCCUACGGGAGGCAGCAGUGGGGAAUUUUCCGCAAUGGGCGAAAGCCUGACGGAGUGACGCCGCGU